RNAcentral lists this long non-coding RNA (244 nucleotides) under Elaeis guineensis (African oil palm). RNAcentral's name for it is "long non-coding RNA (EGUI_LNC061272)". The record is from RNAcentral. Lineage: Eukaryota; Viridiplantae; Streptophyta; Magnoliopsida; Arecales; Arecaceae.
UAUAGUAAGUAAAUUCCAUCCGAGCUUCUAUUGCAAGCGGACUUCAUCCGAGUUUCUAUGGUAAGUAGACUUCGUCCGAGCUUCUACAAUAAGCGAUCUCUAUCCAGGCUUCCACGAUAAUCGGUCUCCAUCCGAGCUUCUACAGUAAGCAGCCUUCUUUCAGACUCCUACAAGAAUCAGACUCCAUCCGAACAUCUACAGCGGAUGGAUUCCAGACGAACUUCUACAAUGGACGGGCUCCAGC